Molecule: ribosomal RNA, 494 nt
Filed under: uncultured bacterium
Lineage: Bacteria
Description: partial 16S ribosomal RNA
Rfam family: Bacterial small subunit ribosomal RNA
Source: RNAcentral
GACGAACGCUGGCGGCGUGCUUAACACAUGCAAGUCGAACGGUUAAGCGCCUUCCUUUUUGGUGGGUGUGGAUGAGUGGCGAACGGGUGAGUAACACGUGAGUAACCUGCCCCCUUCUUCUGGAUAACCGCAUGAAAGUUUGGCUAAUACGGGAUAUUCUGGGUCUGUCGCAUGAUGGGUCUGGGAAAGAUAUUGUUUCGGUGGGGGAUGGGCUCGCGGCCUAUCAGCUUGUUGGUGGGGUGAUGGCCUACCAAGGCGGUGACGGGUAGCCGGCCUGAGAGGGUGGGCGGUCACAGUGGGACUGAGACAUGGACCAGACUCCGACGGGCGGCAGCAGGGGGGAAUAUUGCACAAUGGGAGGAAGCCUGAAGCAGCGACGCCGCGUGAGGGAUGGAGGCCGUCGGGUUGUGAACCUCUUUCGCCAGUGAAGCAGGCCUGCCUCGUUUGUGGGUGGGUUGACGGUAGCUGGAUAAGAAGCGCCGGCUAACUACGUG